AGUACUGUGUGAAACUUGACAUG
RNAcentral lists this non-coding RNA (23 nucleotides) under Cricetulus griseus (Chinese hamster). Lineage: Eukaryota; Metazoa; Chordata; Mammalia; Rodentia; Cricetidae. The record is from RNAcentral.